Molecule: ribosomal RNA, 492 nt
Filed under: Typhlacontias punctatissimus bogerti
Lineage: Eukaryota; Metazoa; Chordata; Lepidosauria; Squamata; Scincidae
Description: partial large subunit ribosomal RNA
Rfam family: Bacterial large subunit ribosomal RNA
Source: RNAcentral
CUUUUCAACGGCCGCGGUAUCCUAACCGUGCAAAGGUAGCGUAAUCACUUGUCUUCUAAAUAAAGACCAGUAUGAACGGCUAAAUGAGAAUGGACCUGUCUCUUAUAUCUAAUCAGUGAAACUGAUCUCCCAGUACAAAAGCUGGGAUUCACCCAUAAGACGAGAAGACCCUGUGGAGCUUCAAACCUAUGCUACCAAGCACAAAACACCUGCAACUAACCAAAGGUUUUAAGUUGGGGCGACUUUGGAACCAAAAAAAACUUCCAAGAACAGAGCCAAACCACUCUCACCAAGGCCAACAAGCCAAAGCCAAAAAUCGACCCAGUAUAACUGAUAAACGGACCAAGUUACCCCAGGGAUAACAGCGCUAUCUUCUUCAAGAGUCCAUAUCGACAAGAAGGUUUACGACCUCGAUGUUGGAUCAGGACACCCAAAUGGUGCAGCCGCUAUUAAAGGUUCGUUUGUUCAACGAUUAAAGUCCUACGUGAUCUG